Molecule: ribosomal RNA, 253 nt
Filed under: uncultured bacterium
Lineage: Bacteria
Description: partial 16S ribosomal RNA
Rfam family: Bacterial small subunit ribosomal RNA
Source: RNAcentral
UACGGGGGGGGCAAGCGUUGUUCGGAAUUACUGGGCGUAAAGGGUCUGUAGGUGGCUUGCUAAGUCAGACGUGAAAUCCCUCAGCUUAACUGGGGAACUGCGUCUGAGACUGGCGAGCUUGAGGGCAGGAGAGGAACGCGGAAUUCCAGGUGUAGCGGUGAAAUGCGUAGAUAUCUGGAGGAACACCGGUGGCGAAGGCGGCGUCCUGGACCAACACUGACACUGAUGAGCGAAAGCCAGGGGAGCAAACGGG